Grammomys surdaster is the source of this 363-nucleotide long non-coding RNA. RefSeq lists it as uncharacterized. The record is from RefSeq and is a predicted model, not a curated record. Lineage: Eukaryota; Metazoa; Chordata; Mammalia; Rodentia; Muridae. The transcript is spliced from 3 exons.
AGCAGAUCCACUGUUCCCGGAGGACAGCCACUACAUGCUCCUGGGUCACAGGCCUCCCUCCCUAGGAAUUGUGCCAGAUGAAUCACCGAGUUUCUCCACUUCUCUCUCUCUCUGAAGCCAGUGAGAGUGUGGCUGGAGGGGACUGUGCCCCAGGAAAACUCCAGCCAGCCCCUUGACUUCCCAGAACAAAGAAAUUCCAGUGCCGGUGGGGAGAGCUAUGUGGAAAGGAGACUACAGCUCAUUUUCCAAGAAGUCAGUACUACUGAGACAAACUCCAAGCAAGCACUUCUGGGAAGUCUUCUGAGGACCUGGCCAUCCCUCUGCCAUGAGGAUAAAUACCAUUCUGACCCCAGGGCCAUGGAU